RNAcentral lists this ribosomal RNA (404 nucleotides) under uncultured bacterium. RNAcentral's name for it is "bacterial SSU rRNA". It matches the Rfam family "Bacterial small subunit ribosomal RNA", at positions 355 to 776 of the family's 1533-position model. The record is from RNAcentral.
UGAGGAAUAUUGGGCAAUGGGCGAAAGCCUGACCCAGCAAUGCCGCGUGAGUGAUGAAGGCCUUAGGGUUGUAAAGCUCUUUCAGUAGGGAAGAUAAUGACUGUACCUACAAAAGAAGCCCCGGCUAACUCCGUGCCAGCAGCCGCGGUAAGACGGAGGGGGCUAGCGUUGUUCGGAAUUACUGGGCGUAAAGAGUGCGUAGGUGGUUUAGUAAGUUGGAAGUGAAAGCCCAGAGCUUAACUCUGGAACUGCUUUCAAAACUGCUAGACUUGAGUUUGGUAGAGGGUGAUGGAAUUCCUAGUGUAGAGGUGAAAUUCUCAGAUAUUAGGAGGAACACCAGAGGCGAAAGCGAUCACCUGGGCCAGUACUGACACUGAUGCACGAAAGCGUGGGGAGCAAACAGG